UCGAGGAUCUUCGGCAAUGGGGGCAACCCUGACCGAGCGACGCCGCGUGGGCGACGAAGGCCUUCGGGUUGUAAAGCCCUGUCGAGGGGGAGGAAACCGCGCAAGCGGGUGACCCAUCCCUGGAGGAAGCACGGGCUAAGUUCGUGCCAGCAGCCGCGGUAAGACGAACCGUGCGAACGUUGUUCGGAAUCACUGGGCUUAAAGGGCGCGUAGGCGGGCUGCCGCGUCCGGGGUGAAAUCCUCCGGCUCAACCGGAGAACGGCCUCGGAUACGGGCGGCCUCGAGUCGGGUAGGGGCGGGCGGAACUCUGGGUGGAGCGGUGAAAUGCGUUGAUAUCCAGAGGAACUCCGGUGGCGAAGGCGGCCCGCUGGACCCGGUCUGACGCUGAGGCGCGAAAGCCAGGGGAGCGAACG
RNAcentral lists this ribosomal RNA (413 nucleotides) under uncultured Gemmata sp. Its description in RNAcentral is "bacterial SSU rRNA". It matches the Rfam family "Bacterial small subunit ribosomal RNA", at positions 355 to 774 of the family's 1533-position model. Lineage: Bacteria; Pseudomonadati; Planctomycetota; Planctomycetia; Gemmatales; Gemmataceae. The record is from RNAcentral.